UUCCUCUCUCCCUCCCUCUCUCUUCAGUCUCAAGCUGAUAUUUCCAAUAUUCCUGAUAAUACAAGUGAAGCACAGCAAGCCCUAGAGAGAGCCUUGCUACACUCGGAGGAACUCUAUCACUUCUUACAGAAACACAUACAAGAAUCACAAGAGAUCAGCGAUCAGUUAGUUGAGUUUGUUAAGGAACUUCUCAGCGCCAACAGAGCUUUGGUAGAGGCUUUUGAGAGAGCUAAGAAGAGACAGCAGUUUGAAAAGAGACAGCUGAAACAAGAAAUCCUGACCCUCACUAACAGACUGCACCAAAGCACAUGAUAAAAGGAGAGAGAGAGAUAAUGAAUAAUUAUUAUAAUAAAUAAAUAAUAAUAAUUACUUUUUUAUUAAUUAAAGCCUUAUUCAUAAUAAUAAUAAUAAUCAUUAAUUAGUUAUUUAAUCUCUCUUAAUUUGUAGUUUUACAUUUAGUUACUGUAGUUGUAUCAUUUAUAUUAUUAGUUAAAGUAAUUAAUUAUUAUUUGUAAUUGUAAAGUAGAAUGUGUGAUUUAUUAUAAUAUUAAUACAUUGUUACUAUAUUUAUUUAUGACAAAUAUUUUAAACAGUUUUAUUACUCUUUUACUUGUAAUUUUAAUCAUAAUACUGUUAUUAUUAUUAUUAUUGUUAUUAUUAUUAUUAUUGUUGCUGUUAUCAUUGUUGUCAUAUUUUA
Molecule: long non-coding RNA, 697 nt
Organism: Amphimedon queenslandica
Lineage: Eukaryota; Metazoa; Porifera; Demospongiae; Haplosclerida; Niphatidae
Exons: 2
Source: RefSeq, a predicted model, not a curated record